GAUGAACGCUGGCGGCAGGCUUAAUACAUGCAAGUCGAGGGGCAGCACAGGUAGCAAUACUGGAUGGCGACCGGCAAACGGGUGCGGAACACGUACACAACUUACCUUAGAGUGGGGGAUAGCCCAGGGAAACUUGGAUUAAUACCCCAUAAAACAGGGGGCCCGCAUGGGCAUAUUGUUAAAGAUUUAUCGCUUUAAGAUGGGUGUGCGUAUGAUUAGGUAGUUGGUAGGGUAAAGGCCUACCAAGCCGACGAUCAUUAACUGGUGUGAGAGCACGACCAGUCACACGGGCACUGAAACACGGGCCCGACUCCUACGGGAAGCAGCAGUAAGGAAUAUUGGUCAAUGGACGGAAGUCUGAACCAGCCAUGCCGCGUGAAGGAUGAAGGUCCUCUGGAUUGUAAACUUCUUUGAUAGGGGGCGAAAAAGGGCCAUUCUUGGUCAACUGACGGUACCCUAUGAAUAAGCACCGGCUAACUCCGUGCCAGCCGCCGCUGUAA
RNAcentral lists this ribosomal RNA (500 nucleotides) under uncultured bacterium. RNAcentral describes it as "partial 16S ribosomal RNA". It matches the Rfam family "Bacterial small subunit ribosomal RNA", at positions 28 to 523 of the family's 1533-position model. The record is from RNAcentral.